RNAcentral lists this ribosomal RNA (394 nucleotides) under uncultured bacterium. RNAcentral describes it as "partial 16S ribosomal RNA". It matches the Rfam family "Bacterial small subunit ribosomal RNA", at positions 338 to 729 of the family's 1533-position model. The record is from RNAcentral.
CCUACGGGUGGCAGCAGUGAGGAAUAUUGGUCAAUGGACGCAACUCUGAACCAGCCAUGCCGCGUGCAGGAAGACGGCUCUAUGAGUUGUAACCUGCUUUUGUACGAGGGUAAACGCAGAUUCGCGUUACUGUCUGCAAGUAUCGUACGAAUAAGGAUCGGCUAACUCCGUGCCAGCAGCCGCGGUAAUACGGAGGAUUCAAGCGUUAUCCGGAUUUAUUGGGUUUAAAGGGUGCGUAGGCGGUGGGAUAAGUUAGAGGUGAAAUCCCGAGGCUCAACUUCGGAACUGCCUCUGAUACUGUUCGGCUAGAGAGUAGGUGCGGUAGGCGGAAUGUAUGGUGUAGCGGUGAAAUGCGUAGAGAUCAGACAGAACACCGAUUGCGAAGGCAGCUUAC